GUUAACAGAUACAGAUACAGAUAAUGCUGUACUCGCUCAUCCCUAAAGGAAAUGUAUUGGGAUAAUAUAUGAAUAAUCCACAAAUAAACAAUCUUUGCCAUUCUUGACUCCAUGCAGGUCUCCACCCACAGCAACCAGGAGUUCGGUUUCCUCCAGCAGCUCACCAACAAUAAUGGCAAUCAAGAGGGUUUGCUGGGUGGUUUCUACCUUCAGAUCAGCACCUGGUUCAUUUACACCUCUGCCACGUUCAGACUCUCAGCCCAGAUCAACAAUCCAGCUUCACCAAGCCUGCCAGCACACCAGCAUCCGCUCAGCUCACACCUUCGAAUAAACUACUUAAAAUUGA
Molecule: long non-coding RNA, 346 nt
Organism: Platichthys flesus (European flounder)
Lineage: Eukaryota; Metazoa; Chordata; Actinopteri; Pleuronectiformes; Pleuronectidae
Exons: 3
Source: RefSeq, a predicted model, not a curated record